UAUAGAGGGAUGAUGGAGGGAUGAUGGAGGGAUGAGGAGGAAGGAUGAUUGAGGGAUUAUAGAGGGGGGAGGAUGGAUGGAUGAUUAUAGAGGGAUGUCCACGACAGAGACCGGUCCAGGAUGAGGUCUUAGUCCACGACAGAGACCGGUCCAGGAUGAGGUCUUAGUCCACGACAGAGACCGGUCCAGGAUGAGGUCUUAGUCCACGACAGAGACCGGUCCAGGAUGAGGUCUUAGUCCACGACAGAGACCGGUCCAGGAUGAGGUCUUAGUCCACGACAGAGACCGGUCCAGGAUGGGGUCUUAGUCCACGACAGAGACCGGUCCAGGAUGAGGUCUUAGUCCACGACAGAGACCGGUCCAGGAUGAGGUCUUAGUCCACGACAGAGACCGGUCCAGGAUGGGGUCUUAGUCCACGACAGAGACCGGUCCAGGAUGAGGUCUUAGUCCACGACAGAGACCGGUCCAGGAUGGGGUCUUAGUCCACGACAGAGACCGGUCCAGGAUGGGGUCUUAGUCCACGACAGAGACCGGUCCAGGAUGGGGUAAACAUAAGGGCCACUCAUGACAACGUUAAUGUGGUAAUGUGUAUCAUAAAUGACACACACCCAUAUGUGAUGGUUUACCAUCUGUUCAUAAAGUGUCUCUUAUUGACUUUAAGUGGCAUCCAUCGCAGCCUUAAGGUUGAUAACAACAAUGGAACUCUUUGUAUAAAAUGCUAUUUGAUAUAUAUUGUGAUGUGAUGAUGUCUUUCCCUUAUUAAAGUGAAGUGACCUGAGCUGUUUGA
Cyclopterus lumpus (lumpfish) is the source of this 787-nucleotide long non-coding RNA. RefSeq lists it as uncharacterized. The record is from RefSeq and is a predicted model, not a curated record. The transcript is spliced from 2 exons. Lineage: Eukaryota; Metazoa; Chordata; Actinopteri; Perciformes; Cyclopteridae.